This is a small nucleolar RNA of Cucurbita pepo subsp. pepo (vegetable marrow), 130 nucleotides long. RefSeq annotates it as small nucleolar RNA snoR74. Lineage: Eukaryota; Viridiplantae; Streptophyta; Magnoliopsida; Cucurbitales; Cucurbitaceae. The record is from RefSeq and is a predicted model, not a curated record.
AAAAAAGCAGGGUUCUGUUGCCUAUAUAGUGAAUAGUGCCCUUGUAAACUUCAGGAAUAUCGAAUGUAUCAUUAUUGGGUGAACCUACGUAUAGAUAAUUGCUGAUGGUUCAGUAAAUGAUCCUACAUAA